UGAGGAAUAUUGCACAAUGGGCGCAAGCCUGAUGCAGCGACGCCGCGUGUGGGAUGAAGGGGCUACGCCUCGUAAACCACUGUAGCCCGGGACGAAAAACGCCUUAGAGGAGUUAGACGGUACCGGGAAAGUAAGGGUCGGCUAACUACGUGCCAGCAGCCGCGGUAAUACGUAGGACCCAAGCGUUGUCCGGAUUUACUGGGUGUAAAGGGCGCGCAGGCGGGAUAAAAAGUCAGUGGUGAAAUCCUACAGCUUAACUGUAGAACUGCCUUUGAUACUUUUAGUCUUGAGUGCGGGAGAGAGAGACGGAAUUCCAGGUGUAGUGGUGAAAUACGUAGAUAUAUGGAAGAACACCCGUGGCGAAGGCGGUCUCUUGGUCCGACACUGACGCUGAGGCGCGAAAGCGUGGGG
This 411-nucleotide ribosomal RNA is filed under the name uncultured bacterium. Its description in RNAcentral is "bacterial SSU rRNA". It matches the Rfam family "Bacterial small subunit ribosomal RNA", at positions 355 to 766 of the family's 1533-position model. The record is from RNAcentral.